UGGCGGACGGGUGAGUAACGCGUGGAAAACCUGCCGUAUACUGGGGGAUAACACUUAGAAAUAGGUGCUAAUACCGCAUAAGCGCACAGCUUCGCAUGAAGCGGUGUGAAAAACUCUGGUGGUAUACGAUGGUUCCGCGUCUGAUUAGCUAGUUGGUGGGGUAAUGGCCUACCAAGGCAACGAUCAGUAGCCGGCCUGAGAGGGUGAACGGCCACAUUGGGACUGAGGCACGGCCCAAACUCCUACGGAAGGCAGCAG
RNAcentral lists this ribosomal RNA (258 nucleotides) under uncultured bacterium. RNAcentral's name for it is "partial 16S ribosomal RNA". It matches the Rfam family "Bacterial small subunit ribosomal RNA", at positions 96 to 354 of the family's 1533-position model. The record is from RNAcentral.